GGUGAAGGAUUUCUGUUGUUCUGCUGGAACAACUGGAGAUGGAGUAUGGUGAGAAAAAUACCACUCCUGUCUGUCUGAACCUUGAGGGCAGCUGCCUGUAGCCAGCAGCUCUUCAGUGUGAGAGGCUGAACAGAUCCUGAAACCCUUUGGAGCAGAUUAUCUCUUUCAAGAGAGAAUCCCACUCUGUUUAGCUCCCUUGAAGACACCUUAUACCUUUGGCUAUUACUGUUGCACUAUCCUACAUCUUUUCUGCGUCUCCUACACAUUUUUGAGCUGGAAUGACCAAACCUGCAGGCACAGACUAAGAUGGGACCUCAUCAGAUUGGUGAAAUUUCUCUCUUUGGUCAUUUUUCCCUUGCUUGGUUGGCAAUUGUCUCCUAAACUUCAGCUGAGCUCUGAGUUUUCCAUGAGAUGCAAAGAUUUAAAGAGCUGGCAGGAAGAGCCCCUGAAGGGGAUGGCAGGAAUGUUCUUUUCCUCUUUGCUGUUCCUCUAAGGAGCACAGCAGGCACUGGAUAC
This 516-nucleotide long non-coding RNA is filed under the name Cyanistes caeruleus (blue tit). Its description in RNAcentral is "lncRNA (ENSCCEG00000020578.1)". Lineage: Eukaryota; Metazoa; Chordata; Aves; Passeriformes; Paridae. The record is from RNAcentral.